Molecule: ribosomal RNA, 253 nt
Filed under: uncultured bacterium
Lineage: Bacteria
Description: partial 16S ribosomal RNA
Rfam family: Bacterial small subunit ribosomal RNA
Source: RNAcentral
UACGGAGGGAGCUAGCGUUGUUCGGAAUUACUGGGCGUAAAGCGCGCGUAGGCGGUUUUGUAAGUUAGAGGUGAAAGCCCGGGGCUCAACUCCGGAAUUGCCUUUAAGACUGCAUCGCUAGAAUCCGGGAGAGGUGAGUGGAAUUCCGAGUGUAGAGGUGAAAUUCGUAGAUAUUCGGAAGAACACCAGUGGCGAAGGCGGCUCACUGGACCGGUAUUGACGCUGAGGUGCGAAAGCGUGGGGAGCAAACAGG